GGGGUGGCGCUCGGGGCCCGGGGCGCGAGCGCCGCCUCCGAAGCGGCGGACGCGGUGAUCCUGGUCGAUCGUCUCGAUCGCCUCGCCG
This 88-nucleotide transfer RNA is filed under the name Acidobacteria bacterium ADurb.Bin051. RNAcentral describes it as "tRNA-Arg". The record is from RNAcentral. Lineage: Bacteria; Pseudomonadati; Acidobacteriota.